RNAcentral lists this ribosomal RNA (301 nucleotides) under uncultured bacterium. RNAcentral's name for it is "partial 16S ribosomal RNA". It matches the Rfam family "Bacterial small subunit ribosomal RNA", at positions 509 to 807 of the family's 1533-position model. The record is from RNAcentral.
CAGUCGCCGCGGUAAUACGUAGGUGGCAAGCGUUAUCCGGAAUUAUUGGGCGUAAAGCGCGCGUAGGCGGUUUUUUAAGUCUGAUGUGAAAGCCCACGGCUCAACCGUGGAGGGUCAUUGGAAACUGGAAAACUUGAGUGCAGAAGAGGAAAGUGGAAUUCCAUGUGUAGCGGUGAAAUGCGCAGAGAUAUGGAGGAACACCAGUGGCGAAGGCGACUUUCUGGUCUGUAACUGACGCUGAUGUGCGAAAGCGUGGGGAUCAAACAGGAUUAGAGACCCGCGUAGUCCCUGUCUCUUAUAC